AUGUUGAUUGCUGGUCAAUCACUUUUCCAACGUUUUCUUUCAGCUUUUGGAUCAGUUUGUUGAAUUAUUCAUUAAUCCGUCCUUUCUAAUUUGUUCGUUCGAUUUUUGAUGGACAACUAAUUUAUGACAUGUAACCUUUCAUUUCGCUUAACUACAUAGUUCAAAAGGAAGUUGUUUGUAUGGAUCAACAAGGUUGGUUCGAAAGGUUUGAAUUUUUGUUCGGCAUAUACUUUUCCUAUUCAAACUAAAGUUAUAUGUACAAAUAUCUAAAGUAGUGAAGUUCUUUGUAUAGAUCGACUGGGUUGGUUCAAAAGCUUUGAAUUUCCGUUCGGCAUAUAUUUCUCUUAUUCAAACUGACGUUAUCCAUACUAAUAUCUAAAGUAUUGGUACGACUUGAUACAUUUCCUGACAAAGGAAUCAGUAAACUUGAUUUUUGAGCCAGCCGCAACAUUUCCGGCUGCUGGCUUGCAACACCCGUUGUUCUUCCAUCCUGUACCGGCAGCUUUUAUCAAUUUUUUUCUCUUUUAUUAUGUAUGUUGAUACCUAAUUCAUCUUCUAUUUUGACAAUGCAACUGCGGAUGCCAUAAUGGAUCAGAGACUUCUUGUGGACUUCAUCACAAAAAAAACUACAGACUAGACCUGCAAGGUUCAGGUAAUUGACAAGUUUCGCCCUUGCAAGAGCAAAGACUCAUCUGUCCAUUUUCACACAAUACUCGUGCAAGAUGAAAAAUUCAUCUUCUAUUUUGACAAUGCAACUGCGGAUGCCAUAAUGGAUCAGAGACUUCUUGUGGACUUCAUCACAAAAAAAACUACAGACUAGACCUGCAAGGUUCAGGUAAUUGACAAGUUUCGCCCUUGCAAGAGCAAAGACUCAUCUGUCCAUUUUCACACAAUACUCGUGCAAGAUGAAAAAGUAAGUUUCUCUCCAUAUCCACCCCCUAAAUACUCAAGCUGAUACUGUAAGCGUUAGCUACAAUAACGCUUUAGAAUCCGCAAAAUAUUUGUUAUGAAAAAAGGAAUUUGCACCUCAGUAAAGACAGAUUGAAAAGUCUACUAUUUUCCUCUAUAAUUCUAACAGCAUAUUUGAAGCUGUUUCUCUUUCACUUAACUACAGGAACAGCAGGUUUCCAUAGUUCUAUACAGCGAUGACAUUCCCAAAUACAAGAACUUGUUCCUCCUUUUCCACACAUAUGUUGUUUCUUGUGCGAAAGUUAGGGAUGCCCGUGGCUACUCGAUACGAGCCGGUAGGUACGAAUGGGUAGCAGACAAAUACACAAUUGUUGAGCCGAUUACCGACAACGAUGGAUUGGAAGCACCACUGGCUGCUCUAGAAAAGUUGAGCCCACUUCCUUUCUCAGCGAUUGAACAACAACAUCCAGGUUCUGAAUUUGUAUGUUGCUUCCCAUUACACCAGACUUACUGGCAGUAGUAGUUAACUGCAGCGCCCUGCAAUACACAGCUGACCAGAGCAAACACUUUCGGGAAGCGAUUGUGAUGGAUCAAAGGCAAGUUAGUCUCUCCCUUGCAUGAAGUUCACCAAACCUUCUAUUUGCUUGGUAAAAUAUGCUUUCACUAUAACAAUUUCUGCGUUUGGUAUACCGACCAGCAAGAAACCUUUUCUAUUUACUAUAUGGGAUGACCUAGCUGACAAUGAAGGGACUACCUUAUUGGAUCACCUACACGAGCAUCCCGCCAUUCUUGCCAAGCGUAUAGGCAUCACUGAAUUCCGUGGUGUUUUGAGAUUGGCAACAAGAUAUCAAACAACAAUUUUACCAAAUCCUCAAUACGUGCAGGCAAUUAGACUGAUGAACUGGUAUACAUU
This is a long non-coding RNA of Capsicum annuum, 1822 nucleotides long. RefSeq lists it as uncharacterized. NCBI's taxonomy places the organism in Eukaryota, Viridiplantae, Streptophyta, Magnoliopsida, Solanales, Solanaceae. The record is from RefSeq and is a predicted model, not a curated record. The transcript has 3 exons.